RNAcentral lists this ribosomal RNA (467 nucleotides) under uncultured bacterium. RNAcentral describes it as "partial 16S ribosomal RNA". It matches the Rfam family "Bacterial small subunit ribosomal RNA", at positions 28 to 506 of the family's 1533-position model. The record is from RNAcentral.
GACGAACGCUGGCGGCGUGCUUAACACAUGCAAGUCGAACGGAAAGGCCCUGCUUUUGUGGGGUGCUCGAGUGGCGAACGGGUGAGUAACACGUGAGUAACCUGCCCUUGACUUUGGGAUAACUUCAGGAAACUGGGGCUAAUACCGGAUAGGAGCUCCUGCUGCAUGGUGGGGGUUGGAAAGUUUCGGCGGUUGGGGAUGGACUCGCGGGUUAUCAGCUUGUUGGUGGGGUAGUGGCUUACCAAGGCUUUGACGGGUCGCCGGCCUGGGAGGGUGACCGGCAAAAUGGGGAGUGAGAAACGGCCAAGACACGAAGGGGAGGAAGAAGGGGGGAAAAUGGAAAAAGGGGGGGAAGCAUGAGGAAGAAAGGCAGCGGGGGGGAUGACGGCCUUGGGGUUGAAAACCGCUGUGGCCGGGGACGAAGGGGAGGUGAGGGAAAUGGGUAAAGAAGCACCGGCUAACAAGGU